RNAcentral lists this ribosomal RNA (1539 nucleotides) under metagenome. RNAcentral describes it as "bacterial SSU rRNA". It matches the Rfam family "Bacterial small subunit ribosomal RNA". The record is from RNAcentral.
GGGUUUGAUCCUGGCUCAGAACGAACGCUGGCGGCGUGGAUUAGGCAUGCAAGUCGAACGAAAACCCUGAAACUAGAUUCUUCGGAUGAAGGUUUCGGGGCGAGAGUGGCGAAAGGGUGAGUAACGCAUAGGUAACCUACCCCCAAGACGGGAAUAAUAGUUGGAAACGACUACUAAUACCUGAUAAUGUCAUGGAAUCGCAUGACUCCAUGAUUAAAAAUAGCCUCUGCAAGCAAGCCUUUGCUUGGGGAGGGACCUAUGUCCUACUAGCUUGUUGGUGAGGUAACGGCUCACCAAAGCAAAGAUGGGUAGCGGGCCUGAGAGGGUGGCCCGCCACACUGGGACUGAGACACUGCCCAGACUCCUACGGGAGGCUGCAGUCGAGAAUCUUCCGCAAUGGGCGAAAGCCUGACGGAGCGACGCCGCGUGGAUGAUGAAGGCCCUCGGGUCGUAAAGUCCUGUCAGGGGGUAUGAAAAGCAGUUAAGCAAAUACCCUUUCUGUUUGACGUCAACCCCAAAGGAAGCUCUGGCUAACUCCGUGCCAGCAGCCGCGGUAAUACGGAGAGAGCGAGCGUUGUUCGGAAUCACUGGGCAUAAAGGGCACGUAGGCGGUAAAAUAAGUCAGUUGUGAAAUCCCUCGGCUCACCCGAGGAACUGCAUCUGAAACUGUUUAACUUGAGGAUAGGAGGGGAGAGUGGAAUUCCUGGUGGAGCGGUGAAAUGCGUAGAUAUCAGGAGGAACGCCGGCGGCGAAGGCGACUCUCUGGCCUAUUCCUGACGCUGAGGUGCGAAAGCUAGGGGAGCAAACAGGAUUAGAUACCCUGGUAGUCCUAGCCGUAAACGUUGGGUACUAAGUAGAGGGGACUCCGAAGUUCUCUCUGCUGGAGCUAAUGUGUUAAGUACCCCGCCUGGGGAGUAUAGCCGCAAGGUUGAAACUCAAAGGAAUUGACGGGGGCUCACACAAGCGGUGGAGGAUGUUGUUUAAUUCGACAACGCGAAGAACCUUACCUGGACUUGACAUGCAGGGAUUAGGUCUGUGAAAGCAGGCUGAUUGCCCUUGUGGUGUAACCUGCACAGGUGUUGCAUGGCUGUCGUCAGCUCGUGUUGUGAGAUGUUGGGUUAAGUCCCAUAACGAGCGAAACCCUUAUCGUUAGUUGCCAGCGGGUAAUGCCGGGGACUCUAGCGAGACUGCCCGCGUUAAGCGGGAGGAAGGUGGGGACGACGUCAAGUCAUCAUGGCCCUUACGUCCAGGGCUACAAACGUCCUACAAUGGGCUGUACAAAGAGAAGCAAUACCGCGAGGUGGAGCAAAUCUCAAAAACAGUCCUCAGUUCGGAUUGAAGGCUGAAAUUCGCCUUCAUGAAGCCGGAAUCGCUAGUAAUCGUGCAUCAGAUACGGCACGGUGAAUAUGUUCCUGAGCCUUGUACACACCGCCCGUCAAGCCACCUAAGUAGGGUGCACCCGAAAUCCGAGGCCUGACCCUUUGGGGAGGGAUCGGCUGAAGGUGAACUCUGUGAGGGGGACUAAGUCGGAACAAGGUA